Long non-coding RNA from Rosa rugosa (rugosa rose), 803 nucleotides. RefSeq lists it as uncharacterized. The transcript has 3 exons. The record is from RefSeq and is a predicted model, not a curated record. NCBI's taxonomy places the organism in Eukaryota, Viridiplantae, Streptophyta, Magnoliopsida, Rosales, Rosaceae.
UCUCUCCUCAAAACAUCGUCUCCUCUCGCUUUCUCUCUUUCUCUCUUCCCAUAUCGCUCUUCUCUCCUAUCGUCUCCACAAUCCCUUCCUCCAUCUACAUCUACAUCACCGCCGAGAUUAGGGUUCUAUUAUCUUGACUCAGCUGUCACUAAGUUCCAUUCGUGAAGAAGAUAAGGAUUCUGUGUACUGGGAAGAGGGAGGAGGUUCUUCGAGAUCUGCUGAAGAUUAGGGUUCUUCGAUCUCUGGGUUUAUAAUGUCGAUUUGGGGAUUUGUAGUCUACUCGAUUUGGGGGUUUCACGACAAUUUGAUUUGUGGGGAUUUGUGGGCUACUGGAUUUGGGGAUUUGUGGGUACUCGAUUUCCUCAUAUCCACUUCCUUUCUCCUUCAUCUCUCUCUCAUGGUGGUUGCACAUGGCGAGCGAGCAAGCGCUGAUCCUCAUCCACAAGUGCAAGCUUUAGAGUGUCCUAUAACAUGUCGCAACCAUCACUAAGGACGUCAAGGACUCUGAAUUCUUCAGCUUCAUCACCAUGUUUAGGGCCAGCGAUAAGUGUUAGAAGGAGAAGAGGAAGACAAUUAAUGGUGAUGAUUUGCUGUGAGUGAUGGUUUCCCUUCUCUCACUUUCUCACAAUUUCUUCUCCAAAGGGUAUUUGUCUGUGAGCCCAAGUCAGAGGUCAGUUUGUCGCUCUGUGGUUUGUGAGGCUGCUCCAACCAAGAGGCUUGAUUAUGUUGAAAAGGGAGCUCGCCAGGUUGAGAAAAGGCGCAUUUACAACAAGUCCAAAAAGUCUGAGAUCAAAACCAGGUUG